This 222-nucleotide long non-coding RNA is filed under the name Elaeis guineensis (African oil palm). RNAcentral's name for it is "long non-coding RNA (EGUI_LNC044213)". Lineage: Eukaryota; Viridiplantae; Streptophyta; Magnoliopsida; Arecales; Arecaceae. The record is from RNAcentral.
GUUUGGUUCAAUCGUAUACUCAUAUGCUCAUAGUGUUGAAUUAAAGCGUGCUAUGAAUUAUGCUAUGUCAAUAAUCUUGGUUUGAUUAUGUAUUCAUAUGUUUUGAUAUGAAUUGAUGCAUAUAUGAUAGAAUCAUAGAUUUAAUUGAUAUGUAGUUGAAUUUUAUCUGUUCAUUUUAGAAUGUGCAUGAGACCGAAAAAGCCUUCAUAAAAAUUAUAUUAA